RNAcentral lists this ribosomal RNA (433 nucleotides) under uncultured bacterium. RNAcentral's name for it is "partial 16S ribosomal RNA". It matches the Rfam family "Bacterial small subunit ribosomal RNA", at positions 29 to 507 of the family's 1533-position model. The record is from RNAcentral.
AAUGAACGCUGGCGGCAUGCCUAACACAUGCAAGUCGAACGAGACCUUCGGGUCUAGUGGCGCACGGGUGCGUAACGCGUGGGAACCUGCCCUUAGGUUCGGAAUAACUCCCCGAAAGGGGUGCUAAUACCGGAUAAUGUCUUCGGACCAAAGAUUUAUCGCCUUUGGAUGGGCCCGCGUUGGAUUAGCUAGUUGGUAGGGUAAAAGCCUACCAAGGCGACGAUCCAUAGCUGGUCUGAGAGGAUGAUCAGCUACACUGGGACUGAGACACGGCCCAGACUCCUACGGGAGGCAGCAGUGGGGAAUAUUGGACAAUGGGCGAAAGCCUGAUCCAGCAAUGCCGCGUGAGUGAUGAAGGCCUUAGGGUUGUAAAGCUCUUUUACCCGGGAUGAUAAUGACAGUACCGGGAGAAUAAGCUCCGGCUAACUCCGUG